Molecule: long non-coding RNA, 1175 nt
Organism: Carassius auratus (goldfish)
Lineage: Eukaryota; Metazoa; Chordata; Actinopteri; Cypriniformes; Cyprinidae
Exons: 7
Source: RefSeq, a predicted model, not a curated record
AUGGUUAUAAUGGGAAUUAUGUUGGUUGUAAUGGUCACAGUAAUGGUCCCUGUGGGUCUCUAUUGGUAAAUUGCUUUCUUCUAUUGGUGGUAUGUAUUGUCUUGGAUUGCCACCAUACGUCAUUUGGAAAGGUUAUUUUUAAUUCAUUUAAUUUUUUUUUUUUUUUUUUUUUUUUUUUUUAAAUCAACUCGACUGGUCAUGGCCUUCAAAAUUGACUUGAAAAGUUGGUCUUUGUUUUGUCUGUCGGAUUUGGUCCAAAUUUAGCCCAAAAAUAGAUGUGAAAUAACAGUGAAAUUCUGCGUGACUUCCACGUGCUGUAAUGUGCGCGCACGCAGAACUGGAGCGGAGGACGUCACCAUGGAAACGAGGCGGCAGCCCAACCGUCAAGCAGCUGAUCGCUGACACUCAAUGUGGUUUCACUUUUUUUUUUAGAAAUGGUUUAGCGUCGUCAGAAAAAGUCCGUUAGCAUCUCAAAGAAGUGCCAGAAAAAAACCUCUAUGACGCAGGAGAAGUUCCUGAUUUUAACAUUUCUGAAGGGAGCUGCUGACAGAGAGGAUGAAAACAUACACAUUUUGAUGUCCACGCUGUAGGAGCAUUACUAAAUAAUGCUUAUGUUCCUAGGUUCUUCCAUGCUGAUGGCUGUGCUCUAGUCAUAUCUCCUGUCGAAGAACAUUUUUAGACAUUAUGAACCAUGAAUAAGUUUAGCUCCAACCCCAGUUAAGCAGACCUGAGCAGCUGAUCAAGGAUCAGCAGAAACUCUGCAGAACGGUGGUCCUCCAGCCCAGGACUGGACACCAGUGUUAGUGUCUGUCUCAGAAGCUGAAGAAAAAAGGUCACACCUUAUAGGAAAUAAACGCCUCCUAAGUGUAUGGAAAUACCUGGCUGAGGAGAUCAGUGACAUAAACCAGAUAAAACUGUCAGUGGUCUGAGACAGCUACAAGCCACAAAAACAGUUCAUAGUUCCUGCAUUUCUAUAAUGCAUUAAUGAAUAACAAUAAUUAAAAUAAAAUGUAAUGUCAAGGUUUUGUGUUAAUUCCAGCUAUGUUGAGUAUUCUGUGAAUAAUUUUGAUUUUAGGUGCAUAUUCUUAAUUCUUUGCAAAACAACCUGAACUGUUUGCUAUUGAAAGGUUGGUAUGAAGUUUAAAUAAAUAAAAACAUUAUAUUCUUGACAAAAC